AUUGAGGCUAGAGUCAGGCUUGCCUUAGUGUGCUAGAGUCCUCAAAGAGUAACUACUGACUUUAUUCACUGGCUGUGGCCUUCAUGGCACAGCCAGUCACUGGGUCAGUGACACGC
Molecule: small nucleolar RNA, 116 nt
Organism: Diceros bicornis minor
Lineage: Eukaryota; Metazoa; Chordata; Mammalia; Perissodactyla; Rhinocerotidae
Product: small nucleolar RNA SNORA3/SNORA45 family
Exons: 1
Source: RefSeq, a predicted model, not a curated record